GUGAGACAUGUUUGUGUAGCAAGAGGAGUCAGAGCAAGGUACUGAGGUGCCUUUGCUGUGACUGCAUGAGAAAGGGGGAACCCAGAGGAUCCUGACAGUCACAGGCACUCAGCAAGUACCAAGGAAAACACCGAGCAUGCUCAGUUUCCUGCUUCCAGAAGAAACUGCCAACGCUGAGGACUUAGGAAAGGACUGGGGGGACGGGGUGAAAAUUGGUUAUUUCCCAUGCUUAAUAAAGGCAUCCAUUAAGCA
This 252-nucleotide long non-coding RNA is filed under the name Mus spretus (western wild mouse). Its description in RNAcentral is "predicted gene, 57052 (ENSMSPG00010022917.1)". The record is from RNAcentral. Lineage: Eukaryota; Metazoa; Chordata; Mammalia; Rodentia; Muridae.